AGUGAACGCUGGCGGUAGGCCUAACACAUGCAAGUCGAACGGCAGCACAGGAGAGCUUGCUCUCUGGGUGGCGAGUGGCGGACGGGUGAGGAAUGCAUCGGAAUCUACUCUGUCGUGGGGGAUAACGUAGGGAAACUUACGCUAAUACCGCAUACGACCUACGGGUGAAAGCAGGGGAUCUUCGGACCUUGCGCGAUUGAAUGAGCCGAUGUCGGAUUAGCUAGUUGGCGGGGUAAAGGCCCACCAAGGCGACGAUCCGUAGCUGGUCUGAGAGGAUGAUCAGCCACACUGGAACUGAGACACGGUCCAGACUCCUACGGGAGGCAGCAGUGGGGAAUAUUGGACAAUGGGCGCAAGCCUGAUCCAGCCUUACCGCGCGGGUGAAGAAGGCCUUCGGGUUGUAAAGCCCUUUUGUUGGGAAAGAAAUCCAGCUGGCUAAUACCCGGUUGGGAUGACGGUACCCAAAGAAUAAGCACCGGCUAACUUCGUGCCAGCCGCCGCCGUAA
Molecule: ribosomal RNA, 506 nt
Filed under: uncultured bacterium
Lineage: Bacteria
Description: partial 16S ribosomal RNA
Rfam family: Bacterial small subunit ribosomal RNA
Source: RNAcentral